GACGAACGCUGGCGGCGUGCUUAACACAUGCAAGUCGAACGAUGAAGCCGGAGCUUGCUCUGGUGAAUUAGUGGCGAACGGGUGAGUAACACGUGAGUAACCUGCCCUUGACUCUGGGAUAACUGCGGGAAACUGUAGCUAAUACCGGAUACGACCCUCGGAGGCAUCUCCUGGGGGUGGAAAGAAUUUCGGUCAAGGAUGGGAUCGCGGCCUAUCAGCGAAUUGGUGAGGUAAAGGGUCACCAAGGCGACGACGGGUAGCCGGCCGGAGAGGGUGACCGGCCACACUGGGACUGAGACACGGCCCAAACUCCUACGGGAGGCAGCAGUGGGGAAUAUUGCACAAUGGGCGCAAGCCUGAUGCAGCAACGCCGCGUGAGGGAUGACGGCCUUCGGGUUGUAAACCUCUUUUAGCAGGGAAGAAGCGAAAGUGACGGUACCUGCAGAAAAAGCACCGGCUAACUACGUGCCAGCCGCCGCCGUAA
RNAcentral lists this ribosomal RNA (484 nucleotides) under uncultured bacterium. RNAcentral describes it as "partial 16S ribosomal RNA". It matches the Rfam family "Bacterial small subunit ribosomal RNA", at positions 28 to 523 of the family's 1533-position model. The record is from RNAcentral.